GGGAUAACACUUGGAAACAGGUGCUAAUACCGCAUAACCAUAGUUACCGCAUGGUAACUAUGUAAAAGGUGGCUAUGCUACCGCUUUUGGAUGGGCCCGCGGCGCAUUAGCUAGUUGGUGGGGUAAAGGCUUACCAAGGCAAUGAUGCGUAGCCGAACUGAGAGGUUGAUCGGCCACAUUGGGACUGAGACACGGCCCAAACUCCUACGGGAGGCAGCAGUAGGGAAUCUUCCACAAUGGGCGAAAGCCUGAUGGAGCAACGCCGCGUGGGUGAAGAAGGUCUUCGGAUCGUAAAACCCUGUUGUUAGAGAAGAAAGUGCGUGAGAGUAACUGUUCACGUUUCGGCGGUAUCUAACCAGAAAGCCACGGCUAACUACGUGCCAGCAGCCGCGGUAAUACGUAGGUGGCAAGCGUUAUCCGGAUUUAUUGGGCGUAAAGGGAACGCAGGCGGUCUUUUAAGUCUGAUGUGAAAGCCUUCGGCUUAACCGGAGUAGUGCAUUGGAAACUGGGAGACUUGAGUGCAGAAGAGGAGAGUGGAACUCCAUGUGUAGCGGUGAAAUGCGUAGAUAUAUGGAAGAACACCAGUGGCGAAAGCGGCUCUCUGGUCUGUAACUGACGCUGAGGUUCGAAAGCGUGGGUAGCAAACAGGAUUAGAUACCCUGGUAGUCCACGCCGUAAAC
RNAcentral lists this ribosomal RNA (680 nucleotides) under uncultured bacterium. RNAcentral's name for it is "bacterial SSU rRNA". It matches the Rfam family "Bacterial small subunit ribosomal RNA", at positions 140 to 807 of the family's 1533-position model. The record is from RNAcentral.